Molecule: ribosomal RNA, 253 nt
Filed under: uncultured bacterium
Lineage: Bacteria
Description: partial 16S ribosomal RNA
Rfam family: Bacterial small subunit ribosomal RNA
Source: RNAcentral
UACGUAGGUGGCAAGCGUUAUCCGGAAUGACUGGGCGUAAAGGGUGCGUAGGUGGUUUGGCAAGUUGGCGGCGUAAUUCCGAGGCUCAACCUCGGCGCUACCGCCAAAACUGUCGAACUUGAGUGCAGGAGGGGUAAGUGGAAUUCCUAGUGUAGCGGUAGAAUGCGUAGAUAUUAGGAGGAACAUCGGUGGCGAAGGCGACUUACUGGACUGUAACUGACACUGAGGCACGAAAGCGUGGGGAGCAAACAGG